Long non-coding RNA from Panthera uncia (snow leopard), 9428 nucleotides. RefSeq lists it as uncharacterized. The record is from RefSeq and is a predicted model, not a curated record. Lineage: Eukaryota; Metazoa; Chordata; Mammalia; Carnivora; Felidae. The transcript has 2 exons.
GGGCCGUGCGGGGUGGCUCCAUCCUCCAGGGCCAUGCAGGGUGGCUCUGUCCUCCAGGGCCAUGCGGGGUGGCUCUGUCCUCCAGGGCCGUGCAGGGUGGCUCCGUCCUCCAGGGCCGUGCAGGGCGGCUCUGUCCUUUGAGGCUGUGCAGGGUGGCUCUGUCCUCCAGGGCCAUGCAGGGUGGCUCCGUCCUCCAGAGCCAGGCAGGUGGCUCCGUCCAGCGGCCUCCUGUCUUAAGCUCCUGAACUGCUAUCCAGAAGGGUUCGCCCCACCCAGGCAUUCUGAUCUCCGUUGCUAUGAUGUGUUUGACUCUCAAAGCAGGUGGGCACACAGGGCAGCCUUGGAGUGACAAAGACGAGCUCUGGGGUGAAGUGUGUGGGUUCGAGUCCCUGCUCUGCCCCGUCCCAGCAGGUGGCCUCUGGGGCCCAAUUUCCCUUCUUUGUAAACUAAGGUCGCAGUUGCCACAUGGGGCUGCUUCAAGAUCGGAAGCGCUGUCGUAUGCAGAGCGUGCCACAUGGCGGUGGGCACGCAGUAGCCGCUCACGAGGGAGCGGGGUCAGCCGCAGGGGCUGAGCAGCCUCGACGUGGACCUUGCUUGUGUAGUCGCUUGGAUUUGGCGUGGGAGCCAGCAUGGCCUGCACUGGUCCUUUCCAUGUGCUUCUGGGUAAACAGUGUUGAAUCAUAAAACAACAGAGCGGAGGGGAAGGGAGGAACCCCUCUCGGUUCAAAGAAACUCGCUUAAGUGAAGCCCAGGACUUUCUGAGACACUCGAAUCCUGAGAAGCAGCUGACAUCUACCAGGAAGACAGCCUGAUCUUCAAAGGUUCUUCCCAAGACCUGUGCAGUUUUGGCCGAGGUGCCGGGAAGCAGGAGUAAUGAGUAAUGAACUGAAUAAUGAGCGAAUCCCAGAGGGACACCGUGGGGCCUCUGGCAUCUCUGCUCUGUGGCUCGCUGCCCUUCCGCCCUCCCGGUGUGUGGGGACGGGACGGGACCUUUGAGUCCGGUGGCAGAUGGGAGGGGACUGAGACUUGGUGAGGCAGUGAUGGUCUCUCAAGCCCCCAGCGCCUCUGGGGGCAGGGGUGGGGGAAGGAGGGUGCAGGCACGUCCUUCCCAAACCUACCUCCGCCUCCCCUCCGGGUGGUCAGAGCCCAAGCCCUGGGACCAGCACUAAUGAUAAUAUCCCAAGAUGUCCUUGUGAGCACUGAUAAAGCACCAUAUGCUUAGUGGUCAUGGAGCCUAGUGCUAAAAGUUAGGAAAUAGGGAGAGAGAGAGAUCAAGGAGAAGGGGGCAGGGAAGGGGGAGCUUUCAAGAAUCCCUUAGGAGGGGUGCCUGGGGGGCUCUGUUGAUGAAGCAUCGGACUUCAGCUCAGGCCACGAUCUCACAGUUCGUGAGUUCAAGCCCCACGUUGGGCUCUGUGCUGACAGCUCGGAGCCUGGAUCCUGCUUCGGAUUCUGUGUCUCCCUCUCCCUCUGCCCCUCCCCUGCUCACGCUCUGACUCUCUGUCUUUCAAUAAUAAAUAAGCAUUAAAAACAAAUUAAAAAAAAAAAGACAGUAGGGCGCUCCUCAGGGCACCUGGGUGGCUCAGUCAGUUAAGCGGCCAACUUCCGCUCAGGUCAUGAUCUCGCGGUUCGUGAGUUCAAGCCCCGCGUUGGGCUCUGUGCUAACAGCUCAGAGCCUGGAGCCUGCUUCUGAUUCUGUGUCUCCCUCUUUCUGCCUCUCCCUUGCUCGUGCUUUGCCUCUCUCUCUCUUUCUCUCUCUCUCUCUCUCUCUCUCUCUGUCUCUCAAAAAUAAACAUUAAAAAAAAUUUUUAAAUAAUAAAAAAAUAAAGAAUCCUAGCCUGCAAAGGAUCUCGACCUUCGCAGUAAGUUAACGCUACUUUCGAAAGGCUUAAAGUAGCCACAUCACUUGCCUGUGCCUUCCCACUGCCUCUGCGUGAGUUUCCCAUCCAGAUGGGGGGUCCGGACCGCCACACCCCCUGGGUCCCCAGAGGAGUGCUUUGCUUGCUGGUCCAGAAACGGAAGGAGCAGGAGCUUCGUGGGUCCCAAACGCGGCGGGGGCUCGGGUGUGACUCCCAAUCCUCUGUCUGCAGCCUGCUCGCUGGGCCGGCACACCGGACGUGUCCCCGAGUAACGAGGGCCGUGGGGACUGCUGCCCCCCCGUCCUGCGUUGCUGUCUCUGACCGUAAAAGUCACCGUGGGUGACAGGCACUCUAGCUUCGGGUCUCCGAGCUGCCUUUGUAAGUGUGUGUGCAAGAAGAGUGACCCUUGUGCCAUUGGUGCGUGCACACACACACGUGCACCCCGGCACACAGGCCAGAUGCGUCCGCUCCACCUGCACACCUCAGCCCUGGCCACCCUCGACCCCCGUCUUCCUCUGCAGGUGGCGAAGGUGUCUCUCACUUCCUGCCCACAACCCCCCCCGGCCCCAGGCUCACUGCCUGAGAAGUGUGUUUGGGGGCGGAGGACAGGAAGAAGGGGGAAAGGCAGGAAUGAGAUCCCUCGCUGCCCCUACAGCACGCUGGCCUGCCAGGUGCCCCCGAGGAGGAACCCGCGAGCACUGCCCGUAGGGACCGGCGCCCGUCUGACGACAGCCAGCCUGCUCCUGCACCCCGGGGCUCACCAGCCCCCGAGCCGCUCUUCCUGACCCUCCUGUGCCUUUGCUGAGUCACCUGUUGCUUGGAAUUCUGGCAGGGACCCCUCAGAGCUUCUGGAAGGGAGGGCCAGCAGGGGACCCACCCUCUGGGUGUCCCGGGGAAGAUUACUUUAUCUGUGGCCUCCUUGAAGCAGAGCCCGGGCUCCUGGAAUCUUUGGGGCUUGACACGGUGCCAGCCGCGGGGAAGGGAGGGAAUGGCCAAGAGUGUUUGCCGAGCCUGGCAGGGGGCCGUGUCCGCACCUGGAGGAAGGCGACAGUGCUGAUUCUGUCCUCCUCAGCCCUUCCCCCUUUCUCGGCCAGCAGCAACAUCCCCUGCCGUCUCCCCGCUGCGUUCAAGGCCCCCGCAGCGACCACCCUUGGGGACAAUCAGUGGCAGUUGUUUGCUUUACUCUGCAGAACCUCAUUUCGGUGCCGUGCUCUCCUCCCGCCUGGCAGCGAGGGUUCAGUAAGACCGUGUCAGCGGGAAAACCACAUGUGACACAUGUGUGCAGCCAGGUCCGCUGGAGCACAUGCCUGGACGGCUGAUGGACGCCCGGUGUCCCUGUCCUUGCCCGGACCUGGACGCGUCCACUGGCCAAGGAGACACCUGGGUGGCCACCACUGCCCGUUGGCACGGCUGCUUUGUAGAAUGUCCCUCCCUUCCUGUUUUGGCCUGUGUGAUACAAACCUCCCUCCCUGUGAGAUUCGGGAGGGGAAAGGACAUUCGCGUCAUCACUUCUGCCCGGGGCCCCACACUCGCUCAUCCCCCGGCUCGCGGCGGGACCCUCCUGGCGUGUCAGUAUUGGUGCACCUCCUCCUACCUCCUUCAGCCCUUCUUCCGGGCCCCAAGGUGACCCUUUCCUUCUCCCUUUGUAAGCCUGGGUCACACUCUCACACUGUGUUCUUAUCACCACCUCCCCACUUUCUCCCCUUCAUGAUUUCUCUAGAUUUGUUAUAGGGCUUGGAGGUGAAUUUCAGAAAAUUUCAUCUUGACCCUUGUGUAUACCCGCUGUCUUCAGGACAGGCAAAUCUUGGGGCGCCCGGGGGGCUCAGUCGGUUGAGCGUCCGAUUCUUUGAUUUCAGCUCAGGUCAUGAUCUCAGGGGCGUAAAUUCGAGCCCUGUGUCGGGCUUUGCGCUGACAGUGUGGAGCCUGCUUGAGAUUCUCUCUCUCUCUCUCUCUCUCUCUCUCUCUCUCCCUCUCUCUGCACCUCCCUUACUUAUGUGCUCACUCGCUCGCUCUCUCUCAAAAUACAUAAACGUUUAAAAAAGAAGCAGCAAAUCUUAUUUUUACCAAAAAAAGUUACUUUUUCAUUAAAAAAAAAAAUGAAAAAGCAAGGAGGACAUAACUAUCCCUCAACUGUCCUUGAGUCUGGUGAGGGUUUCAUCCCCAGGUUGUGAUGAACUUUGUCCCAGGGGGUGGGUGAUGGGAGGCUGCGGGGUCACCAAAGCGGCGACUCUGACGGAGCUUCCCAUCAACAGAAUCGUGGCGCCUGAACCUGCCAUAUUCUCCCUUGGACCCUUCGGAAAGAAAGUCUUUGCUUCCUGUUUUCCCCUUUCUAAACUACAGGUCUGUGAGUCAGCUUUUCUUCUCUCCUACUUAGCUCACUGUGCGGCAUUACAAGCAUAUUCAGAAAACAUCAACCACAGUAGGAGAGGUCCCCGGCUGUGCCGUGUGCAGGGAGAGAGGGUCGGAAGCUGGCUUUUCCUUGGGGGGUCAGCUCUGUGUGCCGUCUGCUCCGGAAGGCAGCUCUGACAGCCGCAAUUUGAAGUAAAGCAAAGUGGACUUCAGCCCAUCGCAGUCAGGUCCCAAUAGAAGCAACCAGAAUUGUCCCACCACCUGGCAGUUCGCCUGAAACACGGUCAGAGUGCUUCCCAGACAGACAGGAGCACCCAGCAGGAGUAUUUGGGACGAAAGCCUGCGUAGACUCAAAAUUCCAAGGUGCCAAGAGCAGUUUCCCUGAGGACAUCUGUCCUGGUCAUGGCAGGUCCCACAAAGCGUUGGUUUUCCACGUUGGCACCUGUCAGUGGGCCACGGCUGAUCCCAGAAGCCCCGAAUCUUUGUUGCCGAGAUACGUGUCUCUCUUUAUCUGCUGGUGUCUUUCCACUGAGAAAAAAAGCUACGGCCCACCAAGCGCCUGAGUCUUCACGUGAACCAGACAGAAUAGAUACGAUUAUUCCCACUUGGUGGGUGAGGAAACCAAGGCUUGGAGUUGGUCGCGUUGAGUGUACGGUCCACACAGCUGAUGGGAGGCAGGGCCGAGCGCCAGUCACGCCUCUGACCUGAAGCCCCCUGCACCGCACUGUCCAGGAGCCACACACCCCCCCCCCAUGAGUUGAUAGGACUCAGCACACAGCAGGAGCCCAGCGACCCAUCCAGAGUGAAAGCCAGUCCGCACGUGCUCGGUUAUGUGAACUGCAGGAGGGUCCAGCCUGGAACAAACCCCGGCAAGAGUGAUCUCCCCCGUUCCUAGCUUGCUCCCCGAUAUACUAGGUGCCCCGGGAGCCUCACGCAUAACCGACCCAGGAAACACAGUGCUUUCUGCCACAUACUUGGCAGCUUCUCCCUGGAGGUGCGUGAACUUCUGAAAACGUUUAUGUGAUCGGAUGGCUGUCUUCAGAAAGUAGUAGUAAAGUCUGUUGACUCAGCAGUCCCGUGAUGAGUACCUUGAACACUGUAGGCGAUGCGCAGGAGGAAGGGAAGAAAAUACUUGUAGCCUCUUAAUCUGAGCACAGAAGUUGGGCUCAGGGGCACCUGGGCGGCUCGGGUCACGGGCUCGCAGUUCGUGGGUUCGAGCCCUGCGUCGGGCUCUGUGCUGACAGCUCGGAGCCCGGAGCCUGCUUCGGAUUCUGCGUCUCCCUCUUUAGUUAGUAGAUAAUUAUACGCACAGCUGAGUGAAGGUAUCUGCAAAUGAGGCGGGUUUGAUUUUCCUUGCGUGUUUCCAUCAGGUGCGUGCCUUUGAUGAUCUGAAUGGGAUGAUUGGCUGGGAGAGUCACUGUCACUGCUGACCGGUCCUGGAGGGACCUAGACCCAGGACUCGGGAUCUGGGCCUCACAGUACCGGUGCAGACCAGUGGAAGUUUGGGGAGUGGAUGUGAGCGGAGGAAGGCAGGCUUUAGCAUGACCGUCGCAGGGCAGCAGGCAAGAUCGACCAGAAGACGGGCCCGAAGGCAUGGACCACAGGAUGUAUACCCACCUCCGUGCCAGGCGGUGACAGGAAGUGCUGGCAGGAUGUGGCAAAGGCUGAGGCAGCCUUGGCUGGGUGGCGGUGCUGGGAAGGGACGUGACUGGAAAGCAGGAAGAGAAAAGCCUGCAGAAGCUCGGGAGAAGUGGGCGGGAAGGUCAGGGUGGAGGUGAGACCCCCACAUGCGUUAGAACUUGGGGAAUCCAGAACCGAGCGCCGUGGGCAUAGGCGGGAUAGAAGAAGGCUAGCUGGGUCUGGAGAAAGACCUUGAGUUUGGAUUUGGGUAGCCGGGCGGUGACAGAGCCCAGGUGAGUUCCCACAGCCGGGAGCGUCUGGUGCAUGUCUGCUGCCUUCUUUUACAAACAUUUUGUGUGCCCGUUGGUGCGUGGCAUAUGGCUGGGGCCAUGCAGGGGACAGGGCUGAGUGAGACACCCAUCACCUGAGCCCCAGCGCCCUCAAAGCCUGGAAAGAAGGUGGUUUGACUUCACACCAGCGCCUGCCCCCGGCUCUCCAUCUGUGGGUCAGACUUUAAGCUUGUCUGCAGUUCAGCCCCCUCUUCCGUAAGGCUGGAGCAGUCAGGAGACAUCAGCUGGCACUCUCUCCUCCCCUGGUAGAACCUGGAGGGUUAAGAAACAAAUAUCCAUCUCCUGGGAGUGCGUAGGUAUGGACAAAUUUCAAGAGAAUCCAGAUUUGGUACCUGUUCAGGUUAACUAGUUCUCUAGCGGGAGCACGGCCAUGCUGUUUGCGCUCCAGUGAUGGUCACCCGGUCCUGCCCUUUGCCUCUCUUUACCAUCCCUAUCGGGGACCCUCUGGCUGGCACAGGGACAGGAAACGCUAGAUGUGUAAGCCUUGCAAAGGUCACUGCAAACCACACUGACACCAGUGAAUAGCACACUAAUGAUCCGACGGUGCCCAACAGACUAAUGUGAUUGGAAGAAUACGUAUAAAAGUCAGACUCCGGCAUAUUUCUGAAUUCUAAAUACAAAUCUAAACGUGUUUACUCUCCCCAGAAAAUUGUCAGUGUCCUUUGGCUAGAAAGUAGAGCCGACUUCCUCCUCCUGUUUUGAAGAUCUCGGGUCUGUCUUAAUGUCUCCCUGAACUGACAACAUCAUGAGAAGUUUACGGGCACAACCCAACGCAAACUGAAAAGUGUGGUUUGUGGGCAUUUAAUCUGUUUUUCCAGGACGUUCGUCAAUUUGGCAAUCCGAAUAGAAUUCAGAAUCUGAGGCACCCACAGCGUUUUCUUUGAAAAUAUUAGUGACAAUGUGGUGAAUUGAAAACUCCUAACCAAAUGAACUCAGUUUGUUCUUGACAAGAAAAAUGCGUUUUGUGACAUUCAGAAAAUUUAAAAUACAUUGAGUCUUUUUUUCUUUUUUUCUUUCUUUUUUUUUUAAUCUGUACCCUUUUGUAAAACAACGGCCUAAAGUUUGGGGUGGAAUUUACUAAGGAACCGAAGACGGGCCUGAAAGCCCAUCGGGAGAUAGUCACUUCCCGGCUCCCACGGGCUUCUAGCACCAUCGAGAAGGUCUGCUUUGCCACGAGUGUUAGGCUCACGAGCAGCACUGAGAUAAGGGACAGGACAGGUCUGCACCUGUAAGACAUCUGCCCGCAUGAGUGAGAAGGAGGGUUUUGUGGCCCAUCUGAUUGCAUGACCCCUGGAACAGCCUGCUCAGGGAAGGAGAGGGACUCAUGAGACACUGUGACGGGGCCCAGAUGAGCUGGGGUGGGGAAGCCACACGGAGGGCAGUGCCGGGGGGCCGCGCUUUCCAAAUCGCUCGUUGUUAACUCAUUUCAUCUUGCGGGGGACUAUUGAUCAAUGCACUGUGACUCCCACGGGCAGGUGAGUAUAUGUGUGUGUGCGUGCACACCUAAGUGUGAACGUGCGUAUGCAGCUGUGGUAACACCCUUCCUGAUGCCUCUCAAGCACUAUGGAAGAGAAAACACAGCUUCUCAAAGGCCCUUCCUGCACAGGGAGAAUGUGUGUUUGGAAUACUGGCUGUAAUGCAUUCAUUAGAUAUAGUCUCAGAUUUGCGCAUUUACAUGCUAACCUCCAGGAGGACAGGUUCCAGAACUUCUGCAGAGCCCCAGUCUCCUCUCUGAUAAACUAGUGAUAGUUCCUGCCACGUAGGAUGGUGGUGAAGAUAAAAGGCAGUUUAUGGAAAGUUCUUUGCAAGUACCUGGCCUUUACAAAACCCCCCACUGAAUGCCUUCCAUGAAAAUAGACUGAAAUAGAAUAGGGUAGGACCUGACAGGACAGACAUAGGAUGGAACUGGACUGGACAAGACGGGACCAGGCAGCACCAGUCAGGACAGGACCAGACAGAACAAGACAGGACCAGACUGGACAGAACAGGACAGGAUAGGACCAGAUAGGAUAGGACCAGACUGGACAGGACAAAAGUGGACAAAACUGGACAGGACAGGAUAGGACCAGAUAAGACAGGACCAGGCUGGACAGGACGGGACAAGGUGAGUGUCACAUUCUCCUGUUGUGCGUAAUUACCGUCCAUAAGGAGGCCACGUCCUUCUGAACCGAGAAGUCGGUUGUGCACAAACGCGUGUGGUGCGUGAGUGAGUGCGAACUCCUAUUGGCUCAGGUUUCGUAGGGGGGGGAGUAGAGUAACUCUGUAGCUACAGCCGUGUUCUGUUUUUUAAACUUGGUGUCCAUUUUAGGGAAUCAAAUAUGAAGGACAAACAUGAUAAAGCUCGUCUGAAUUGUGGUCGCGUCACGAUGCAGACAAGCUGUGUCCUAAGAGGACACCCGGGGAAACUGACCUCCCAGUCGCGUCACGCUGAGGCCCCAAAGCAGCAAUCUUGAACAAUAUCUCGGGGCGUGUGGCCGCGAUGCCUUUUCUUCUGUCUUCUAUCAUGUAUGGUGAUGCCCCCGUUUUCAAAAGGCAAUACGUCGCCCUUUAAAUACCCCCAUUAUCUGAGAUGGUUGCACCCCUGCGCACAGAGAGCCAGAGAUUGGAAAAGGUGACUCAGGGAGUCGAAGCUCAGUGCAGAGCCCGCUGAAAAAUCGGCCUCAUUUUGCUGGCUGGCUGUGGACACCGAGCACAUGUGCGCCCGGGCAAGCCACCGCUGACCUGCCUGUUCCACGUGGGCCAUGUGACACUGACUGUCUCUGUGAGGUUUAGACCAUCAAGGGACAGUGUAAAUGAGGCUGAGGGUUUGCUAGGAAAUGAUUAAGGUGGUCACUUCGAGGAGCACCUUUGAGAGUCUCUCUCCAAAGAUGCUUGCCCAUUAUCCCAGUAUUUUAGUCAAUAUUUCACGGGAAGCACGGAGAGGGUCUGUAGUCAGAGGAGUGUGGAAGCUGAAACGGGUACCAGCAACGUCCGGGAGGUCCGUUUCCUGUGGGAACACCAUCGUCUUGCCUCUGCUAGUUCGGUGGCUGCUCCAACAAGUUUAAUUUAGCAGCCAGGCUGCGCUCGCCACGCUGACAGACGUCGGGAUGCCCCCCCUUGGAGAGAAAACUCCGUGUGCGUGUGUGCACGCACACACGUGUCUCCACGCGUGCCUCCAUGGGUGCGCGUGGGUGGCAGCUACUAAGCCUUCAGACAUAGACACAUGUCGGGAAGCUCUGACCUACAAACACAGAGCAAGGACUUGAAGAUCUGA